AUACUCCCAUACAUACAGGUUUCUUUUUAAUGUUACAAAGUAAUUAUUUCUAUGUUUAUGGGAUACUAUUUUACCCUAAUUGAAAUAAAUUUCUUUGUUAAUAAGACAUACUGCCCAUUAUGGAGAAAUAGCAAGCAAAAUAUAUUGACUGAUGUGUUUUAAUAUAUUCACUGUUGAGUUCUUAAAAGUGUUUAUUAUUGUAGUAUAUUACUUUGUAAUAUUAAAGUAUAGUUUAAGCUAUAUAUAUCUAUGUAUCAUCAUAGAUUGAAUUAAUCUUUUAUUCAUAGUAUCCAUACAAAAUCAUUUGAAAUUCAUGUAAAGGGUUUACUCAUCUAGUAAUAUUUUUUGUUCAAUUUUAGUUUUAUUAGCAGAAAGUUUGAGGUAUAAUCUCUUCCCAGGUAAAAUGUUUAUGAAGAAUAAAAAUGGAAUCGGUUGUUAAUUUGUUUGAGUAUAUUUAUUAAAAUAAAAACUAAAUAGAUACCAGAAAUAAGUCACAUUAUCAGUUAUCUGGUUAGAUUUUUUAAAACUAAAUGAUAAGCACCAAUAUUUAAGUGAGAAACAGGCCCACUUAGUUCUUGCUCGGUAAAUGGUCCGAUUACGCCACAGUUGGUUUGUUGAUCAUUUCAGGUUCUCUGACAUAAGUGAGAGGAAGUUAUCCUCAAACUGGAAACCAGCCUUGAAUCUUGUGGCAGUAGACUCUGCUAAACGCACCCAAAGGCCAGCUGUUGGUGGUAUUAAACUUGGCAAUGGAUUAAGUCAAUCACCCAUGACCGGGAAUGUUCCCUGAGAGGAACUUUUGUACAGUUUCCGUCUACAAAAUUCCACUCACAAGGUAUUGGUUGAUCUGAGGCUUUAGUAGAAAAUACUUGCCCUAGGUGCCUCUGCAGUGGGUUUGAACCCAAAUCCACUUUGCUGUGAAGCAAACUUAACUAUUCAGCCAUUGCUCUGAGGAACCCAUUUAUUUGAUCUAGUUAGAUCUGGAAAGUUCUUGAUAAACAAUCUUUAUUAUAGUAUAAUAGUAGACUUAACAAAUAUUACUAAGUUUAUAUUCUGGGAUUUUUCUCAAAUUAAAAUAAAAGAAAAAGAGUUUUCUUUGAUAUUAUUUGGGAUAUAAAAUACCUGAGAUACAAGUCAUAUGAAAUAUAUAAGAACUGGAAUGCAUGCAGUCAAAUAAUAAUUCUCUCUCUCAUAUAUAUAAUACCCACACACACACACAGACAUAUAUAUAUAUAUAUAUAUAUAUAUACACACACACACAUACAUAUCCGUCCAACCCAUGUAAGCAUGGACAAAUGGAUGUUAGAUCAAUAACAAAAUAUUGUACGUUUAAAAUGUGGAUAACAUGUUACUCUAUUAAAAUUAAAAAAAAAAAAUUUGUCAUGUUUUGCCGUUAACAGAUAAUUGGAGAAAAAAAAAUCUCUAUGCAGUUUAAAUGUUUAAUGUGUCUGCAUUAACAUACAAUAUGUUGUAACACAUGCUUAAUAUGUAAUAAACUGGCUUAGCUGUUUUUUUUUUUUUUUUGAGAUAAAUUAUAAAAGGAAAGUUGAUUUCAUUUUCUUUAGUUUAAACGAAAAAAUUUUUUCUUCAGUGUUAUUGUUAUGGCAAUAUUCUCACAUGGUUCAAUUUCAUUUAAAAAAAAAUGUUUUAUUUUUGACAUGGAAUAAUUGGUUUGUAAGAGUUAAUAUAUUACACACACACACACAUAUAUGAGCUUUCUUUUGCAUCCCUUCUUUCACACACAUACACACACACACACACCCUUUCUCUCUCAAGCACACACUAACUAUAACUAUGCAGCAGUAAUUUCCAGAACAUAGUAUCAUUCAUUACUGUCAUUCUUGAAUAUAUCGUUAGUUUUUAAACGUUCCUAUCUCUUUGAUACUGAUAUAACAUUCAUCCUCAUCAUUGCUACCAUCAUCAUCACUAUUAUCAUCAUCAUCAUCGCUAUCAUUAAUAACAACAACACUUCAUCUCAAAUUAUUUUUGUUAAUUUCAUUUUUUUUUGUCUUAAAAUUUCAUUCAGCAUUUUGAGUUAGAGAACUGAUGUGUAUGUUAUUUUCUUGUUUGAUUUCUGUGACAAUCUCCAGUCUCUUCCCAUACUUGGUGUGUGUGUAAUACUGUCCCAGCCAGAGUGGUCAAUGGUUAUUGGCUGGAAUUAGUAAGAGUAGUAUUGGUGUAAACUGAGAAAAGGAAAAUGUAUGUAUGUGUAUGUAUGUGUGUAUGCCUGUGUGUGUGUGUGUAUACACACACACACAGAUGGUAGUUUAUUUAUUGAUUCAAAGCUAAAGCAUCCCUCCAUUCCUCUAGAUAUUCAUCAGGAUGUUGGCAUGAAGUUUUCUUGUGGGGAAAAUAAAAUGAAAUUUAGGGGCAGGGAUGUGGAGAAAGGGGUAAGAAGGGCCUGAAACUCAAAUUAAAAACAAUUUAAAAAAAUAAUAAGACUCCAACAAAACCUAAAAUUUUGAUUGAAUUUGGAAGAGGUUUACAGAAGCAGGGAAUGGUAAAAUUAAUCUGAAGUUUCUAUUUAUAAUUAUAUUAUAAAGAAAUUUAAGUUAAAUCCAUUAGUAGUUCAGGAUGAAAUUGGCUUUUAAUAGAUAAAGUGUGUUUUAUUAUUCAUUUGAACUUAAUUGUUUUAGGACGAUAAGAUCUCCAUUUAGAUUUGAAUUAUUUUAGUUAUUACUUACUUUGUUUUAUUUAUAUAGGAAUAUUUGAAUAACAAUAAAAGCAUUUAUAGUAAGCAAUGAUGAUUUUUUUUUAUGAGCUUAUGCUACUUCUGCUAAAAUCACAGCUAAAUCGCUCUCAAACUACAUGUAGAAAAAAUACAAAGGUCACAUUUGGUCCUUUGUCUGAAAAUGAAAACAUUUUGGUCAGUGGUGUGCUUAAUUUUAUUAUAUGGGGCUAAAACAACCUCUAAAUUGUCUUUUCCUCUCUCUCUCUCUCUUUUUAAAAAUGGAAACAAAUUCUUGGGCGGGUCAAUGCAGGUUUAUAAUUUUAAUUUUAAAUCAUUUUCUGCUUGUCUAGUUCAGUGUAACUUUUUACCUAUUUAUAGAAAUCUUUCAAUUUUAAAGUAAGAUUUGUGAAAAGUAGUAGUAAUAAUAAUAAUAAUAAUAAUAAUAUAAUAAUAAAGUGAAAACUAUUUUGUACAAAGGGGAAAAGUGAUUAAGCUUAAUUUUUAGAAAUAAAAAUGUGAUUGUGAUAAAUUUUUGACUAGACCUUCAUUCACGUAAAUUUCCUUUUUUUUUUUUUCUCUCUCUCUUAUGCUCAUUGUCUUCAUCUUUCUUGCUUUCAUGAAAUUGGUAUUUCACAGGGUAAGGAAUAUCUUAUACCUGUUUCAUGAAGGAAACUUCCAUAGAGUGUGUGUGUGUUUAUAUAUAUAUAUAUAUAUGUAUAUAUAUAUAUAUAUAAUGUAUAUAUGGUACAUGUGGUUAGAUGAUGGCAUGUGUGUGCAUAUUCAUGUGUGUAUUUGUAUCUAUGUAUGUAAUGACAUUUGUGGCUUCUUCCCGAAUUUAUAUCCGAAGCCAUGAAGUCUGGAAUCACAUUUACAUUCUGGACAGCUGAAAAUGCAAGCUUGUAUGAGUGUUUACUAUUGGUGCAUGAUUCUCGUUGAAAAGGUUAAAAAAAAAAAACUUUACAUUAUUAGGCCUUUCUGUCUAUAGUCCAAUUUUCUCUUCUUUCCCUGUGCAGCAUCUCAUAAUGCAGUACAAUACAUUUUUUUAAUUCAAAUCUACAUCAUUGGAGUGAUGUUUGUUUGCUGUAAACAAUUGAGAAUGUGCUACAUCAUGUUUAUGACAAGCUGUUAUCACAGGAACUAUGUCAAACUGAGAAAUAAAGUUGUCAAAUCAUACUUUGGAAUCUUUUGAUAUUCCCUUGUCUUUAAAAGUAUUAGUGUAGAUAUUAUAUUUUGUUUAAAUGUUCAGGAAAAUUAUUUUUUUCUUCUCCCUCCUUAACCUAUCUAUCUUUUUUCUUUUUUUGAUAGGUGGCAAAUAACCUUUAUUGUUUUAAUUUAUGUUCUUUGUAUAGUGUAAAAUAAACCAGGCUACUUUUCUGUACUUGCAUGGGUUGGACAGAAUUUUCUACAGCUGGAUGCCAUUCACAUUGCCUAUUCUCACCCGUUUUCAAGUAAGGUAAUAUUUCCUCAAGACCAGACAUGUUUUCAUGGAAGAUUGGAAACAAAGGAUACCACUUGCAUGAUGGUGAUACUUGCUUACAACUAUCAUAAAAUGAAUAAGCAAGGAGACAGUAACAUACGGAUUUGCACACCCAAUGGACUUCUUUUGCUUUCCAUCUACCAAAUCCACUUACAAAGCUGUUGUUGGUCUAGAGCUGUAGUGGAAGACUGAACCCAAAAUCAUGUUUGGGAAACAAACUUUUUACCAUACAGUCACUUCUGCACCUAAAAAUAAUGGCCUUUCUUACAGGUUUUUUCCUAUGUCUCCCAAAUGAUCACCCAUCAAGCUAGGCUUGAUGUUGCCUAUUUUCAGUGAUCAAACAAGAACCAGUGUUAUGGCCAUAACACUGAUAUGGCCGUAAAUCAUAUUGAUAUAUAUGUAUAACCAUAGUCAUAUAUGCAUUGUAUUUUUAUUCAUACGCGUGUGUAUGAUGAUAAAGCUUGAUGUAGUCAUCCGGUUUAACAGAUCUUGUUGAAUUGUCCAACCCAUACCAGUAUGGAAGACAAACAAUACAUGAUGUUUUAAAAUAUGUGUAUAGUGGGCAGGGGGCAUACAUAUAUAACUAGCUAAGAUAUCUUCAGAAGGAUUAUUAGUUAAUUAAACUUAGAAAAUUGAUAAUAUAUACGUUUUUAAAGUUUGAUUUGUGGAGUUUUAAUGGAGUUAUACAUCAGUUUCAUUUGUUCAAAGCCAUAAAGUAUUUUAAAACUUUGGAGUUGUUGGAAAAUGUUAAGUUUGGUUUUAGCACUGCCAUAACCAGCAUCUGGAAAUUUGGAACCAUUUGAAUUUCCAAAUUGAUGAAACACAUCAUUAACAAAAUAAUCGGUUAGGAGGUAUUGGUAUUAAUGCGAAUUGUAGAAAUUAAAACCAUUUAGUAAUUCUUUUAUUUCUUAAAAUUCAAAUAAUUUCCUUUUUAAUUUGAUUCAAAUUGUAUUUCAACCUCAAAUUAUAUACAUAUACCUCACUGCUGCUGGUGCCAUGUAAAAAGCACUCAGUACAUUCUGUGAAGUGGUUGGCAUCAGGAAGGGAAUCCAGCCAUAAAACCAUGUUACAACAGAGAGCAAAUUUGAAGUUUUCUGACUUACCAGUUCCUGCUGAACUAUCCAAUCCAUGCCAGCAUGGAAAAUGGACAUUUAGAUGAUGAUGGUAUAUAUAUGUUCUGUUUGCUAUUGAUUCAUAGAUAAGGGUUGCAUUUUGCUUUAUGACAAUGCCAAUUUUAUCAGUUUUAAAAAUAUUGAAACUUGAGGACUUCAGGGAUGGAAAAUUGAAGAGUGAGAUGUAGCUUGGGUUGAAAUUCCCUUACCUCUGUUUUAAACGACAAAAUUAGCUUUAAUAUUUCAAUAUCAAAGACUCCCUUUUUUUUUAAAAGACAUAUGGUAUUGUUAGAAUAGAGGAUAGUUACAUGUCUGAAGUAAAGGGUUAGUUAAGAAGUUAAAAUGGCACUGAUGGCAUAUACUGAGAAUUCAGUGCAAAGGCUGGUAGCGGGUUUCUUUUUAUAUCUAUUUCAUUUCCUAAGUGAACAUUCAGCAGGUUAAAAAAAUAUUAUUUACCAGACUGGAAGACUAAGCGAUAUCUUUAGCUUUUAAUAUAAGUUAAUGCAGGUGCUGUGAAUUAGAGAAUAGAAAUAGCUGAAACCGAUCAGUGUUUUUCUCUUUCAGAUUGCGAUACUUUGUGUUUUUAGGAGAUCCAAUAAGAUUUAUAAAAUAAAAAAAUAAAAAAAUUUUAUUAUUACAAUUACUGUUCAAAUUUCUAACAGCUUCUGAUUUGCAAUUUUUACAUUGAAACCAGUUUUUGAAAAAAUAUGAUUUUCUUAAAGAAGACUAUAUGGUGUGUGUGUGUGUGUAUGUAUGUAUGUAUGUAUGUAUAGUUUUUGAAAUUUCAUAAAGAUUAAUUAAUGACCCUAUAAAAAUUUAAAUUCAAAUGAAGGAAAGUGAAAUAGUCAAAGAAUUAAAAAAUAUACUUCUGUAUGGGAGUGUAAAAAAGAAAAAAGUUAAUUUGUGUUAUUAAGUGCAGCUGAAAAUGUGUAUUUAGAACUAUAUUUGGGCAAACAAAAUGUUAUUUCAAUAUUCUUAGAUAAAUUUUUAUUUAUCAGUAAGUUCAUUUAAAUUUGGAAGUAAAAAAAACUAAUAUGGUUUGUUGAAAACAAAACCCCCCAAAUCUUAUUGCUGGUCAAUAUAGGUUACAUCAUAUUUUUCUAUUCAUUACAAACUGUUAGCAAUUUACAUUUAAAAAAAUUCAUUUGCUAUCCAAAUGUUUAUAUUUGGUUUUUAGUACUGCUGCUCUUGAUUUUGGUAAACUUAUUACUCAAGGCUUGUACUGUUUGGGGAUAUCUUUGUACAGAGACUGAGCUCUUAGCUAAAUAGCUUAAAUCAAAGAUUACAAGUCCUUUAUGAAAUUUGACAUAUUUCAUCAACAUUCAGUUUGGUCUGUUGUUUUAUUCCUUAAACUAGAAAUGUCUGACAUCAAUCUUUUUUGUUAUAGAAUUUUUGCAUGUUUACAUUUUUUUUUUUUUUUUGCUAAAUGAGGUUUUAGAUAUUUGUUGCACAAGAAAUAGAAAUUAAGAUAUAAUUAACAGCAAUAAGUUGUUUAUUUAGAACACAUCGAUUCUACCUCAUUUUACUGUUGAUAUGAUUGCUUGCUGGUAGUGCCGGUGUUAGACAGAAAUGGUCUUCACCACCACUUUCAGCCAUGAAUAAGUGGUUUGAUCUUCUAUCUUAGUAAUUCUUUCACAGGCAGCUUCUCCAGAAUGGAAUAUUACCAUAUUUACCAGCUAAUUUUGUCUUGUAGUUUUUGUGGAAAUUUAAGGCGGUCUCUAAUGUUUGAUUUAAUCUUGUCAUGUUUUAGUUAAAAACUUUACUCCUCUCCACUCUCCUUGUCCCCCUCCUUUUUUUUCCUUCUUGAUUUUGUUAAGUAAAAACUUCAUCUACAGACAUUUUACUGCAGUUAUACAUAUCUAUUUUAAUUAGUUUGUAGUACAGGGGCAUUUCACUUCUCGUGUGUUUGACUAUAAAUAAUGUACAUAAAAUAUUUCUUUAUGACUGUUUGGGUAGAUAAGAAUGGAUAUAAUUUGGCUGUGUAACUUCUAUUAUUAUUAUUAUUAUUAUUAUUAUUAUUAUUAUAGCUUUAUGUAACUAUAUUUCAUAUAAAUGUAUUAUUUCUGUUUAGUAAGAAUGGAUUAACAAACACUUUGCAAAUUUUUUCAGAAACAAUAAACUUUUAAAAAAUAAAAAAAAAAUGAAUAGACGGAAUGAUUUAAAAGGAAUUUUUUUUUUACAUUUAAUUUUAUUUUUCAGGGAAAAUUAUUUUUUUUUGUUGUAACUUUCAUUUCAGAUUUAUUUCUAUUUUAAAUUAAUUUAACAGAUUUGUACUUGUUUAUGAAUGUAUAUUUUAAAUAAUUUAAUUUAAAAAUAAAAAAAAAUGUUUAACUUCAUACCUAGUAUUUUACAUCCUACCAAAAACAAAAGCAAAGACAGAGAAACACAGACCUCCCGAUCUUAGGUGGAAUUAAAAAGAAAAAGCUAUUCAUUUUAUGUUUCUAACACAGAUUUGGAUGAAUAUGGAAUUAUUAUGGUUUUUGCUUUUUUAAAGCUGUAUUUAGCUUAGCUUUGCUGCUAUAUGUGGCAUGCUAACUGAAAAGGAUAUUACAUUAAAAAAAAAAUGAAUUUGAUAGCUAAUAAAAGUUUUGAAUAUAAAAUCUAUAACUUGAUGUUUCAGUAUUAUUAAGAUACAUUUUAUAUGUAAAUUUCAAGUGCAAUGUAUGAUUGUGAAGCUGAUGUUGGAUAUGCAUGGUUACCUCCCUUGAUACAAAAAAAACCCCAACGAGGAUAAAAAAAAAAAUCGAAAGCAAUUCGGUUUUGGCUUAUCCUGUCAUUUAUAUUUACUUACAUAAUUGAUCUAAUAUUAAAUUUUAGAAAUUGUUCUUUUUUUUUAUGUGCCUGCAACUAUUUCAUAACUUUUUUUUUUUUUAAACUUUCACUGUUAGGCUUUGAGAGAAUUAUUUUGUUGACAAGAUCUAGGACUACAUCCCAUUCUAGAAGAAAUUUUUAUGUCACCUGAUAGCUGAUAAUGUUAAUAUAUUGGCAGAUAUUACUCGUCUCAAACCUCCAUUCUUUUUGCCAUCAUUAUGUAACAAUAUAUUUGAUUGUGUUUUAGUUUUAUUUAUUUUUUUUUUUUUGGUUUCAUAUAGCUGCUUCAUUUCAGUUCCUAUCACCAUAUUUAUACAUCUUCAUAGAAUGAACCCAAAACUUACAAAAACAUUAAUUUAAUGAAAGCAUAAUUGUUUUUCUAUUUCAUUUCCAUUCAUUUGUUUUAUCAUUGUGUAAUACUGACUUAACUACAUAAUUUGUUAAGCAUUAUACCCCACCCACCUCUGCUUAAUCAACUGCUUGCAUAAACUUCUAGAGUUGAGAGAAUUUAUUUUUUUUACUUAAAAAUAUUUUUUUGAGAUAUAUAUAUAUAUAUAUAUAUAUAUAUAAAUAUCUUUGAAUGCUUAGUUUCAUCUAUUUCUAAUUUUAUGCUGAGAGACAAUCCACAUAUGGUCACCGCUAUUAUUGCUACUAAAGACCACCACUGCCCUCAUUUGCUCGUCUAAUUUCUCUGCACAUCUAUUUUUUCAUUUAUAACUCAGACUGAAUGAAGUACUGUGCUGUAGAAUUUGCAUUAGAUAGAAAUAAAACAAAUAUCUAUUAAAGUAUAUGUUGAGAGCAGGUCAGUUGGGUGCCAUGAGGCAGAUGUUGUAUGGUACUGUUGUAUGGCAGAUGUAUGGUACUAGUUGUUUCAGUCUGCACAGUUCCUCCAAAGGUACUCUUUGCCACCAGUUGUCUGUGGUAGCAGGAAUGUUAUUAGGGCAGUUUUGACCUUAAUAUAAUGCAUUUCAAAUAAUGUUUAGUAAGGUCUUAAAACUUAAUCCAUUUUUGAUUUGUAACAGUGCAUAUUAAUUGUGCGUUUAGUCAUAUAUAAAUUUUAGUGAAUAAUGAAGAUUUUGUUUCCUGUUGAUGAAAUGCAUAUUUUCAGAGAAAAUAUCAUCUAUUUGAUAGAACUAAUUCAGUUGUCUUUAGAUAAACGAAGCUGUUACGAUUUGAAGCAACAAACUUUGUUGUGUAACUUUCUACAAUAGGUACAAGACCAGCAAUUUUGAGUAAAGGUGUUAAGUUGAUACUUUGAUCUCAGAACUCGACUGGUGUUCUAUUUUAUUGAUGACGACGCCCCCCACCUCUUCUUCCCCUGGAGUGAUGAAAGGCAAAGUUGACCUUUGCAAGGUUUGAAACCAAAGCAUAAAGAACUAGAAACUAUUCUAUAUAAUGCAGACAGUAGCGUCCUAAGAAAGCUCAUAGAGAUUUGUAGAUUAUACAUAUAUAAUCUGAUAUUUCAGUCAUAUCAAGCUUUGUGGGUUAUCACAUGGGUCUUUGUUUUAUAAAUAAUAUAUUUUUUUUUAUAAUUGGCAGAAGGCCAGUGAUUUUUAGGGGGAAAAGUGGGUUAGUCAAUCACAUUGACCUCCCCAGUACUUGUACUUUAUUUUAUCAGUUCCAGAAAAGAUUAAAAGCAAAGUUAAACUCAGUGUAUCCGCCAAAACGCUAGGCAGCAUUUCUUCCGGUUCUUUAUGUUGUAACGAUUCUGCCAGUUCACCACCACUAUGACAACAAUAAUAAUAAUGAUAAUUUUAUUUUUAAACUUGAGAACUUUGUAAGAUUCUCUCUAACUAGACAUAUCAUUUAAUGUGUUGAAUUCAGCAACAGCUGUGUUCUUUAUAAGCAUGGGUUUUAUGUUAGCCCAACAGUUUUGCAAAAGAGUACCAUAGUCAUUAAGUAGAAGUCAGUGUUGUUAGCCAAUGAAACAUUUGCUAAUUGUUUGACUGAGUAGUAAGGCUAACUUCAGCAUUACAAUAACAAUAUUGCUAAACACCUGAGUAAUUAAUUAGCUAUUAUUUAUGGACAAUUUUCUAUAUUUUAUUACUAGUCCCUAUGUUUUUUUUUAAUUAUACCGUUUUAUUUUUAUCUAGAACAUUCCAUUCUAAUAUAUUCCACUAUUGUACAGCUAUUUUAAUGAAGCUUUACAAUUAAUUCUAGAAUGUUUUAUAUUUACAUUAGAAAGAUUAUCUUACAAGGAAACAACUCAAAGGUAACAAAAAAUAAAAAAAAAAUAAUUGUAAUUAUAUCUUGAAUUAUUAUUUUCUAUAUGUAUUGAGAAUUUCUUUUUUUGAGAUUUAAUAAAGAACAUGAUGCCUAAGGAAAAAUAAUAAAAAAAAUACUAAAAAAUUAUAAAACUUGGUUUUACACUAACUUGAUACUUAUUGUAUCAUUAAAUAAAAGAGAAAGCAAAACUAUGAAUUAUACAGAGAUUUGUAAACCUGUUGGAUUAUUGGGGCACCACUGCUGGUCUAAUCUUGUAUUGAGAAAAUAUACCUGUCUAUUUUACAAUAUUUUUACCUUGUGGUUAUUAUUUACAGCUAAGUAAACUGGGACCAGGCCACUUGAAAAUAAGGUGUUUUGGCCAUGAACUGCUAGCCUUAGUAAUUGGUAGUCUUGUAGCAGUUUCAGCCAGCUAUAAUCUUGAAAGUAUUUAAGCUGGGCAGAGAGAGGGGUGGGGUGGUCACAGCAUUAAUGAAUAUUUUACGAAUUUAGACGGUUAAAACUGUUUAGAUAUUAAAGGCAUGUGAAAGGGUUUAUUUUGCUAAUUACUCAACAAAUUGAAACAAAAUUUCAUUCGUCCCUCAAAUUAAUAUUUCUCUAUAAACCAGGCUCGAAGCUUGCUGCCUCCUUUUAAAAGGAAUUGGGAAGUUGUUGCAUUUGAUAUUCCUCACAAGUAUUUACUAGCAUCAUAGAAGAAGUAACUCCAAACAGGAGUUGAAGCUGGUUUUGUCUUUGAUGGCCAUGAGCUUUACUCUUCACUUUCCUGAGUAGGAUGUGAGCUUCUGUGUAGCUGUCCAACUUGAUGGAAAUAACCACCAAAUUCCUUGUUCAAAUCAUUCUAUACUGUAUCAUAUUGAAAACAGGAAGGACAAAAUUGAAUAAUGUAGUCCCAAAUAGUAUCUGAAAAUGAGAUGGGAUGGUCAUGGUUGGACCAUAGUUGAUGGGUUGAACAACUGAAUUUGAUUUUGAUGUUGCAGAUUCUUCAACCCUUUAGCGUUUAAACUGACCGUAUCCAACCAAAAUAUUCUAUCCGUUUUAUGGUCAAACUGGCCAGAUCCAGCUGCUCGCAGUUACCCUACAAAGUCAUUUUAAAAGUAAACAAUCAUAUCAUUGAAAUCUCAAAGCUAUGAGAUAAUGCAUGAUUAAUUCAAAGCAAUAUGAAUAAAUAAGUAUUACAUUUGACAGAACAACCUGAAUGCUAAACAAUUAAGCAACAGCCACAAAUCUGAUGGGUGAUAGUGUCUAACUUGUUUAGUGUUUAGCACUAUGAAACUUGAGUUCUUGUCUCUUCACUCACUCAUCCUAGUUAUGCUUUUGACAUCACUAUGUUGCUAACCACCCUCCUGGUCAUGUCUUGAGUAAAUAUACCAAAGACUUAGUGAGUCUUACAGAGCAGAAAACAAUUCUCACAACAAAUGCUUGUGCCAUGAUAAAAAGAAGAAGCAUCUAGUACACUCUGUAAAUGUGUUGAUGAACGAGUUUGAGAUGAUGCAGAGUCAAGAGGACUCUUUGGUCUUAUUUGGGGACGUCCCAACUUCAACACUGCUGGUACAGUAAUAAAAUGCAUUCAGUACACUCUGCAAAGUGGUUGAUGCUUAGAAAGGCGUCCAGCUGUAGAAACCAUGCCAAAAAAUUAAACAUACAAUAGAGACAUGAAUCUCUGACCUGUGACAACACCCAACCAAUCCACGCCAACAUGGAAAAUAAAUGUAAAAUGAUAAUUGAAAAAUGAGUGUUAUUUUCACACAAGUCUGCCAUUUGACCUGCCCAUUUUGGAUGUCUAAAACAGGCUGAAUUACUAUGUAUUAUAAAUGAAAGAGGGAAAAAAGAAAAAAAAAAAAUGUAAAUUGUGUUUUUAUUCAUUUCAUACCUGAGCAUGAAUUAAAUCUUUUUUCACGUCACACUCAA
This 12199-nucleotide long non-coding RNA is filed under the name Octopus sinensis (East Asian common octopus). Its description in RNAcentral is "uncharacterized LOC118767276". The record is from RNAcentral. Lineage: Eukaryota; Metazoa; Mollusca; Cephalopoda; Octopoda; Octopodidae.